AACGAACGCUGGCGGCAUGCCUAACACAUGCAAGUCGAACGAGACCUUCGGGUCUAGUGGCGCACGGGUGCGUAACGCGUGGGAACCUGCCCUUAGGUUCGGAAUAACUCCCCGAAAGGGGUGCUAAUACCGGAUAAUGUCUUCGGGCCAAAGAUUUAUCGCCUUUGGAUGGGCCCGCGUUGGAUUAGCUAGUUGGUAGGGUAAAAGCCUACCAAGGCGACGAUCCAUAGCUGGUCUGAGAGGAUGAUCCGCCACACUGGGACUGAGACACGGACCAGACUCCUACGGGAAGCAGCAGUGGGGAAUAUUGGACAAUGGGCGAAAGCCUGAUCCAGCAAUGCCGCGUGAGUGAUGAAGGCCUUAGGGUUGUAAAGCUCUUUUACCCGGGAUGAUAAUGACAGUACCGGGAGAAUAAGCUCCGGCUAACUCCGUG
Molecule: ribosomal RNA, 433 nt
Filed under: uncultured bacterium
Lineage: Bacteria
Description: partial 16S ribosomal RNA
Rfam family: Bacterial small subunit ribosomal RNA
Source: RNAcentral